GAAGAGGGAGAGGGAAAAGAAUGGUUAAGAAAAAUAUAUUUGUUGAGUUUUCUUCUUAUUCUCUUUCUUUCUAAAAACUCAACAAAUAUAAUUCCUAAAUUUAAUCCUCUUCCAAUAUUGCAUCAAGCAGUCACAAGUGUUAAAAAUAGUGGGAGGAGAUACGGAUGAUAUCCUUAAAAAGUGGGUUUACAUGAAGAAUGAACUUUAAGUCUAUACCUAUUUACCUUAUUCAUAUUUAAGAUGGUCAUAUGGUGCAUGUUAUUUGUAGAUGAUUUUGUUUUAGCAGAUGAAACUAGUAAAGGAGUUAACCAAAAGUUAAAGCUGUGAAGGACUCUUGAGAGAAUGAGUUUUAGACUGCAUAGAAGUAAGACGGAGUAUAUGCAUUGUGAGUUUAGUUCUUGUAGAAAGAAUGGAGGUGAGGUUCAAUUGGAUGAAUUUUGAGUAUCAAAAUAUAAUUAAUUCAAGUAUUUAAGUUCUAUCAUCUAGAAAAAUAGAGUAAUAGAUGGUGAUGUACCUCAAGAUCAAAACAAUAUUGAUGAAAUGAGGAAUGCAACAAGUGUGCUAAUUCCUGACAAAGUGAAAGGCAAGUUAUAUAUAAUUGUAAUUAGACUCUCUAUAUUAUAUGGGAGUGAAUAUUAGGCAUCUAAGGUAUAUACCCACAAGAUGAAUAUGACAGUUAAAAUAUAUGUCUAGUUACACAACAAUGGAUAAGAAUAGGAAUGAGCACAUCCA
Molecule: unclassified non-coding RNA, 732 nt
Filed under: Hevea brasiliensis (rubber tree)
Lineage: Eukaryota; Viridiplantae; Streptophyta; Magnoliopsida; Malpighiales; Euphorbiaceae
Source: RNAcentral